GCCCGUUUGGCGCAAUGGUAGCGCGUCGCCCUCCUAUAUGUACAUUACAGUAUAUGUCGGAAUAGGCGAAGGCUGCGGGUUCGAUCCCCGUGAUGGGUG
This is a non-coding RNA of Terfezia boudieri ATCC MYA-4762, 99 nucleotides long. The record is from the annotation of a GenBank genome assembly. Lineage: Eukaryota; Fungi; Ascomycota; Pezizomycetes; Pezizales; Pezizaceae.